UUGGAGGGCAAGUCUGGUGCCAGCAGCCGCGGUAAUUCCAGCUCCAAUAGCGUAUAUUAAAGUUGUUGCAGUUAAAAAGCUCGUAGUUGAAUUUCGGGAUUAGUACGCUGGUCGUGCCUUCGGUACGUACUGGUGUUACUGAUUCCUACCUUCUGACGAACCAUCAUGUCAUUCAUUUGGUGUGGUGGGGAAUCAGGACUGUUACUUUGAAAAAAUUAGAGUGUUUAAAGCAGGCUCGCGCUUGAAUACAUUAGCAUGGAAUAAUGAAAUAGGACGUUGAUCCUAUUUUGUUGGUUUCUAGGAUUGACGUAAUGAUUAAUAGGGAUAGUUGGGGGCAUUAGUAUUCAAUUGUCAGAGGUGAAAUUCUUGGAUUUAUUGAAGACUAACUACUGCGAAAGCAUUUGCCAAGGAUGUUUUCAUUAAUCAAGAACGAAAGUUAGGGGAUCGAAGACGAUCAGAUACCGUCGUAGUCUUAACCAUAAACUAUGCCGACUAGGGAUCGGAUGAUGUUAUUUUUAAUGACUCAUUCGGCGCCUUACGGGAAAC
Molecule: ribosomal RNA, 546 nt
Filed under: uncultured Glomeromycotina
Lineage: Eukaryota; Fungi; Glomeromycota
Description: SSU rRNA
Rfam family: Eukaryotic small subunit ribosomal RNA
Source: RNAcentral